This 74-nucleotide transfer RNA is filed under the name Rhizoctonia solani AG-1 IB. RNAcentral's name for it is "tRNA-Arg". It matches the Rfam family "tRNA". Rfam says of the family: Transfer RNA (tRNA) molecules are approximately 80 nucleotides in length. Their secondary structure includes four short double-helical elements and three loops (D, anti-codon, and T loops). The record is from RNAcentral. Lineage: Eukaryota; Fungi; Basidiomycota; Agaricomycetes; Cantharellales; Ceratobasidiaceae.
GGCCGCCUGGCGAAAUGGUAUCGCGUCUGACUACGAUUAUCAGGAGAUUGCAGGUUCGAGCCCUGCGGUGGUCA